This 462-nucleotide ribosomal RNA is filed under the name uncultured bacterium. RNAcentral's name for it is "partial 16S ribosomal RNA". It matches the Rfam family "Bacterial small subunit ribosomal RNA", at positions 28 to 507 of the family's 1533-position model. The record is from RNAcentral.
GACGAACGAUGGCGGGGGGCUGAACACAUGCAAGUCGAACGGAAAGGCCCUUCGGGGUACUCGAGUGGCGAACGGGUGAGUAACACGUGGGUGAUCUGCCCUGCACUUUGGGAUAAGCCUGGGAAACUGGGUCUAAUACCGAAUAGGACCACGCGCUUCAUGGUGUGUGGUGGAAAGCUUUUGCGGUGUGGGAUGGGCCCGCGGCCUAUCAGCUUGUUGGUGGGGUAAUGGCCUACCAAGGCGACGACGGGUAGCCGGCCUGAGAGGGUGACCGGCCACACUGGGACUGAGAUACGGCCCAGACUCCUACGGGAGGCAGCAGUGGGGAAUAUUGCACAAUGGGCGCAAGCCUGAUGCAGCGACGCCGCGUGAGGGAUGACGGCCUUCGGGUUGUAAACCUCUUUCAAUAGGGACGAAGCGCAAGUGACGGUACCUAUAGAAGAAGCACCGGCCAACUACGUG